AACGAACGCUGGCGGCGUGCUUAACACAUGCAAGUCGAACGCGAAAGGGACUUCGGUCCUGAGUAAAGUGGCGCACGGGUGAGUAACGCGUAGAUAACCUGUCUUCAUGUCUGGAAUAAUACGCCGAAAGGGGUACUAAUACCGGAUAUUCUUGCUUUUCAUAAGUUAUGCAAGCAAAGGUGGCCUCUGCAUAUGCUACUGCAUGAAGAGGGGUCUGCGUACCAUUAGCUAGUAGGUGGGGUAAUGGCCUACCUAGGCGACGAUGGUUAGCGGGUCUGAGAGGAUGAUCCGCCACACUGGCACUGGAACACGGGCCAGACUCCUACGGGAGGCAGCAGUGAGGAAUAUUGCGCAAUGGGGGAAACCCUGACGCAGCGACGCCGCGUGAGUGAGGAAGGCCCUUCGGGUCGUAAAGCUCUGUCAAGAGGAAAGAAGUGUACAAUGGCUAAUACCUGUUGUAUUUGACGGUACCUCUAGAGGAAGCACCGGCUAACUCCGUGCCAGCAGCAGC
This 511-nucleotide ribosomal RNA is filed under the name uncultured bacterium. Its description in RNAcentral is "bacterial SSU rRNA". It matches the Rfam family "Bacterial small subunit ribosomal RNA", at positions 29 to 518 of the family's 1533-position model. The record is from RNAcentral.